Molecule: ribosomal RNA, 497 nt
Filed under: uncultured bacterium
Lineage: Bacteria
Description: partial 16S ribosomal RNA
Rfam family: Bacterial small subunit ribosomal RNA
Source: RNAcentral
GAUGAACGCUGGCGGCGUGCCUAAUACAUGCAAGUCGAGCGAACGGACGAGAAGCUUGCUUCUCUGAUGUUAGCGGCGGACGGGUGAGUAACACGUGGAUAACCUACCUAUAAGACUGGGAUAACUUCGGGAAACCGGAGCUAAUACCGGAUAAUAUUUUGAACCGCAUGGUUCAAAAGUGAAAGACGGUCUUGCUGUCACUUAUAGAUGGAUCCGCGCUGCAUUAGCUAGUUGGUAAGGUAACGGCUUACCAAGGCAACGAUGCAUAGCCGACCUGAGAGGGUGAUCGGCCACACUGGAACUGAGACACGGUCCAGACUCCUACGGGAGGCAGCAGUAGGGAAUCUUCCGCAAUGGGCGAAAGCCUGACGGAGCAACGCCGCGUGAGUGAUGAAGGUCUUCGGAUCGUAAAACUCUCUUAUUAGGGAAGAACAUAUGUGUAAGUAACUGUGCACAUCUUGACGGUACCUAAUCAGAAAGCCACGGCUAACUACGUG